AAGGCAAAGUGUGUCAUCGAUGUGGCAUCAAAGGACACAUCAAAAGGAAUUGCCCGAACAAAAAUAGCAAGUCACAAUCGGCAACUUCAAAACAUCCAUCGGCUUCAUCUACAACUCGACUUCCCCCGCGGAAUCAAAAGAAAAAUCAAAUUAGUCGAGUACCUCAAAAGAACCGGUUUUCUAGCGCACAACGUCAACGUCAAGUUUAUACAAACCGGAUGUCUAAUCCUCAACGACAAAUUCAACCGAAGCCUCAACCGAAGAAACCACCAACGGUUGAUAAAAAAUCUAAACAAACGACACCUAACGUCGACAACUCGA
This 321-nucleotide long non-coding RNA is filed under the name Ananas comosus (pineapple). RNAcentral's name for it is "long non-coding RNA (ACOM_LNC024470)". The record is from RNAcentral. Lineage: Eukaryota; Viridiplantae; Streptophyta; Magnoliopsida; Poales; Bromeliaceae.